Molecule: long non-coding RNA, 5077 nt
Filed under: Strigops habroptila (Kakapo)
Lineage: Eukaryota; Metazoa; Chordata; Aves; Psittaciformes; Psittacidae
Description: lncRNA (ENSSHBG00005020242.1)
Source: RNAcentral
CUCCACUAGUCGCCUCCCGUCGCGCCUGUGUCACGGGGUAGCGGGGGCUCGGCCCGGUGGCUGGUGCCGGACUGUGCCCGCACCCCGCCGGGGCGAAGGCGGCGGUGACGCUGCCCGGCCUUUGUCGGGGCCGGCAGGGGGGUGAGCGGCCUUCCCUUUCCUGACAUGGUGUGAGGUGCCCGCCGGGUGGCUGCUCGGCGCCCCCUGGUUUCCUCAGCCCCAGCCCUCCGGUGUGGUGCUCAGCGAGGCGCUGUGGGCGCCAGGCUGGCCCCGGCUCCCCUCCUGCCGCGAUAGGCCGCUAGAGCGGCGGUCCGGCUGGCCUGGGGUCCGCGCCCGCUCCGGGUGCCUCCGGCCAGGCAGGGGCUUUGCACGGCCAAAGGUUAAAAUGAAUGUUGGUGUCCCAGAUAAUUGGCAUAUUGGGGAGAAAUGCCUUGCCCCUUGUCUUGAAAAUGGGAAACUUCAUGAAGGAACAAUAUCCUCUAUUGAAAAGGACAAGAAUGGAAAAUCAUUUGCUGUUGUAUCAUUCUCGGAGUCUGAAGAAAGGAAAAUAUUAAUAACUAAACUUUGUAGAGUCAAAGACAGAAGAGAACCCUGGAAAAGCUCAAUAUUUGAUGAUGGUGAUCUGGAAAAGCCUUGUUUUCCUGGCCAAAAUCUUCCGUCUCCUGCAGUUGCUUUUAAAUUAUCUGACAAUGGUGAUUUUAUUCCAUAUACAAUUAACAGAUACCUGCGUGAUUAUCAAAGGGAAGGAGUCCAAUUUCUGUAUGGACAUUAUGCUAAUAAAAGGGGGUGUAUUCUUGGAGAUGAUAUGGGCCUUGGAAAGACAAUACAGGUCAUUUCGUUUUUGGCUGCAGUAUUGCACAAAAAGGGAACACGUGAAGAUAUUGAAAAUAAUAUGCCAGAAUUUUUACUGAGGACAAUGAAAAAAGAACCAAAGUGUAACCCCAAGAAGACUUUCCUCAUAGUGGCCCCUCUUUCAGUGCUGUACAACUGGAAGGAUGAGUUAGACGCAUGGGGAUACUUUAAGAUCUCUGUCUUACAUGGCAGUAAAAAAGAUGAUGACUUGAGUCGCAUCAAGCAAGGGAAGUGUGAAGUUGCCCUUACAACAUAUGAGAUACUUCGCCUGUAUUUGGAUGAAUUUAACAGUGUAGAAUGGUCUGCUGUAAUAGUGGAUGAAGCACACAGAAUCAAGAAUCCAAAGGCUCAAAUAACUCAAACCAUGAAGUCAUUAAAAUGCAGUGUUCGCAUUGGCCUUACUGGAACCAUUCUUCAGAACGAUAUGAAGGAACUUUGGUGUGUUAUGGACUGGGCUGUACCAGGACUUUUGGGUAGCAGAGCACACUUCAAGAAGAAGUUUUCUGAUCCAGUGGAGCAUGGCCAGAGGCACACUGCAACUAAAAGAGAGCUAGCAACAGGUCGUAAGGCCAUGGUGGAGCUAGCAAGAAAAAUGUCUGGCUGGUUUCUGAGGCGAACCAAAGCACUUAUCAGUGAUCAGUUGCCAAAAAAGGAAGACAGAAUCGUGUACUGUUACCUGACCGAAUUCCAGAAAGCAGUGUACCAGGCUGUGCUAGAGACAGAGGAUGUGAGCUUAGUAUUACAAGCAGGAGAGCCCUGCAGCUGCAACAGCGGCCGUAAAAGAAAGAACUGUUGUUACAAAGAAAAUGCUUAUGGUGAAACAAUUAAGUCACUGCGCUUCAGUUACCUGACAAUCCUACAGAAGGUUGCAAAUCAUGCUGCACUGCUGCAGACAGACAACACUAGCAAGCAGCAGGAAGCACAUAUCAAACGGGUGUGCAGCCAAGUGUUUUCCAGUUUUCCAGAUUUUGUGCAGUUAAGCAAAGAUGCAGCUUUUGAAACAAUUUCAGAUCCAAAGUACAGUGGAAAAAUGAAGGUCCUUCAGCAGCUUUUAAAUCACUUCCGAAGAAACAAGGAUAAAGUUCUUCUUUUCUCCUUUUCCACAAAGUUGCUGGAUGUGCUGGAACAAUACUGUAUGGCGUCUGGGCUAGAUUACCGAAGACUUGAUGGAAAUACGAAAUCAGAAGAUAGAAUGAGAAUUGUAAGAGAGUUCAACAGCAUUCAAGAAAUUAACAUAUGUCUUGUAUCUACAAUGGCUGGUGGACUAGGUCUUAAUUUUGUUGGUGCCAAUGUUGUUAUAUUGUUUGAUCCUACAUGGAACCCAGCAAAUGAUCUUCAAGCUAUUGACAGAGCUUAUAGGAUUGGCCAAUACAAACCUGUUAAAGUGUUUAGACUGAUAUCCUUGGGAACUGUGGAGGAGAUGAUGUACUUGCGGCAAGUUUAUAAACAGCAACUUCACUGUGCGGUGGUUGGAAGUGAAAAUGCCAAGCGGUAUUUUGAGGCAGUGCAAGGAUCAAAGGAACAUCAAGGAGAGCUUUUUGGGAUCCAUAACCUUUUCAAACUCAGGACUCAUGGGUCCUGUCUUACCAAAGACAUCCUGGAGAGGGAAGGGCAAGUAGAAGCAGGAGUCAUAACAGCAACUACGUGGCUAAAGGAAGAGACUUCUCCAUGCAGCUCAGAAAAGGUGAGGACUAUGAAGCAGAAAGAUAGAAAUUCCGAAAGCAUUCAGCCUUGCAAUGCAAAUAAUUCAGUGGUGACCAAGGGACAGCUUUCCUUAAUGCAGUGUGGAUUCUCUAAGUUGUUGCAGAGAGAAGUUGGAACUACCAAAGAAGAGGAGAAUAAUUACAACUCUCAUCAUUCCAGUUCUGAUGAUCAGACUUUAAGAACAAAUGUCAAUAGCAAGCACAACUGGCUUGUUUUAUCAGGCUCUGAGGAGGAAGGGGACGUAGAAAGUGAUGAUCAAGGCAUUUCAAAGCACAGUGAUACAGUCAUGGAUAUUGAAAACAGUUCUGAAGAUGAUGAUGAUGUCAUCUUUCCUACCCAAGUUUCAGCAUGCCAGCAACCACUGCUUAGUAAAAAAGUUGAAUUAUGCAGGUCACCAUCUGUAAAUUUUGAAGAGUUAGCAAAAGAAAAACAGGGGUUUGUAUUUAAGGAAGACAGUAGGCAGUUUGGAUUCCAUAACAGUGAGUCAAAUUUCAGCAAAACUAUGUCUUUUGAAGACAUCAAGAACAGCACAAGAGAAUUGAAAGGAGCAAGUGACAUAAGUGAUGAGUCCGAUGAUAUUGAGAUUUACCAUAAUUCUAAAUUGAGAAAGUCAAGAACUUUUAGCUUUCCGAAAUGGAAAGAAAGAUAUGCCCAUAACAACAGACAAGAUAAUGUCUCAAAACCUCAGCUACAAACAAAGAAGCCCAAUAAAAAAGAAAAGGAAAGUGAUUCUCAGAAUAUAGAUGAAUUUUCAUCCUCUGAAGACAACUUGCCAGGUGAGAAAACACAUGCCAGAAAGCAAAACUAUACGCAUAAAAACCAGAGAGACAGAGUUCGGUUUGGGCCUAAAAUACUCUAUCGUAUUCAAGAUACCUCUGUUGCACAAAUGAAAUCUAGCAGUUACACUGUGUGUAGAACUUCUGCAAGUAAAACUGAAUUUGAACAUCAAGAGCAGAAAGUGGAAUCAAUGGACAGAUAUUUAGAUGGUGUCCCAGAAGUGGCAUAUAUUCAUUCAAAUCAGAAUGUGGUUGGAUCCAGCAAGGCUGAGAAUCACUUGAGCCGGUGGGCAGUACGAGAUGUAUUUGAGUUGAAGCAGUUUUCCCAGCUCCCUGCUAAUGUAGCAGUCUGUAGUGCCAAGGUAAAGAGAAAUGUUUGGGAAAUGUUUAAUCAACACCACCUGUAUGUUAUGCAUCCUGUGACCCAGAAAAACAAAAAAAUACACAAAGUAGGUUCAACCACCUUCUUGGUUGGGAGGACACCCAAAGGAAUCCGCAGGAGACAGUUUGAAGAAAUGGUGUCCCACUUUAAUAUGGGAUCAGUGGAAGAACUUGCAGAACAUGUUGUAAAAGCUACAUCAGAAACAAGGCAGAAGAUGUUGAGGGAAUUCUAUAUUUCCAGGCAUCCAGAGAUGGAGUCUUUCUUCCCAGCUGAAAUAGCAGUACAGUCUUCACGUGACUGUGAGGAAAAAGAAUUGGGUACAACACACUCCAGAAAAAGAAAAUCCAUUGCUAAUUUUGGAAGAUCUAAGUCUAGACCUUCAUCAGCUAACGGACUACUUUGGAGCAGAACUACAGAAACACAGAGCCAGCAGAGCCAAAAAGUAGAAGUAGAGCAGAUUCACAAUGACUCCUACUUGCAAGAUGUGUGUGUUGAUGCAAAAUAUAAACAAUCACCCACUGUUGCUACUCAACAUAUCGAAAGGAGAAACAGUCAGGCAUUCAAGGAUUUUAUGGCAUUUGGCUCAUUAGGCAGUAAAUCAGAAAUAAUUGAGGUGCUGCCUGUAAAAAGUUGUGAAGGACAGCAGGGCUCAGAAGGAACACAGCUGCCAAGAAAAAGAUGCCUGUCUCAGUCAGCAAAUGGGGAGAGAAAAGCUCAUACUUGUAAGAAAAAGUCUUUUGUGGACUUACUUGGAGAUACCUCUAUUCUCAAUGACCUCUUCAGAAAUGAUGGAAGUGGGCCUACAGACUCACUAAGGAGAUUCCCUUCAGGGCAAGUAGAAAAAUCAAAGGAGAAACCAAAAGAUUUCUGGGACAUGCUGAGUGAGCAGAAUGAGGAGAGCCUCAGAAAGCUCACAGACAUAGCAGUCAUAGAGAAGCUAUGUGAAAAAGCACCUCCUCCCCUGGUAACAGAAGAGAGAGAAGUGCAUGAAAGUUCUCUUUGGAAAAAAAACGAAAAUUUUCUAUGGAAAAAGUACAGUCCAGAUGAUUCAGAUGGACCAUCCACUGCUACAUCUUGUAAUGUAGUAAAACAAAAGUUUUCUGUGUGACUUGCACUAUAAUUAUUUUAUUUGGAUAUUGAAAUUUCCACAGCUUCAGCAGUAUUCAGCAAAAUAUAACUUCAUGAAAUGAAAGGCAAAGUGAUGAAUUUGUAUUCUUGAUAAUAUGGAUUUACAUUUUACAGAUGUGAAUAUAUAUGUAAUUACAUAUGUAUAGUACAUAUGUACAUAGUAGUACAUAAAUACUAUAUUGUAAGCUGUUAUAUAUUAAUUUUAAAUUAAACCUUUUUAAAUGUUCUGAGUGCA